This 253-nucleotide ribosomal RNA is filed under the name uncultured bacterium. RNAcentral describes it as "partial 16S ribosomal RNA". It matches the Rfam family "Bacterial small subunit ribosomal RNA", at positions 524 to 776 of the family's 1533-position model. The record is from RNAcentral.
UACGUAGGAUGCAAGCGUUGUCCGGAUUUAUUGGGUUUAAAGGGUGCGUAGGCGGCCUAUUAAGUUAGUGGUAAAAACGUACAGCUCAACCGGAUACCCGCCAUUGAUACUGAUAGACUUGAGUGCGACAGAGGGUGUUGGAAUGUGUGGUGUAGCGGUGAAAUGCUUAGAUAUCACGCAGAACACCAAUUGCGAAGGCAGAUGACUAUGUCGUAACUGACGCUGAGGCACGAAAGCGUGGGGAGCAAACAGG